This 252-nucleotide ribosomal RNA is filed under the name uncultured bacterium. RNAcentral describes it as "partial 16S ribosomal RNA". It matches the Rfam family "Bacterial small subunit ribosomal RNA", at positions 524 to 776 of the family's 1533-position model. The record is from RNAcentral.
UACGUAGGGUGCAAGCGUUAAUCGGAAUUACUGGGCGUAAAGCGUGCGCAGGCGGCUUUGCAAGACAGAUGUGAAAUCCCCGGGCUCAACCUGGGAACUGCAUUUGUGACUGCAAGGCUAGAGUACGUAGAGGGGGAUGGAAUUCCGCGUGUAGCAGUGAAAUGCGUAGAUAUGCGGAGGAACACCGAUGGCGAAGGCAAUCCCCUGGACCUGUACUGACGCUCAUGCACGAAAGCGUGGGGAGCAAACAGG